Molecule: ribosomal RNA, 486 nt
Filed under: uncultured bacterium
Lineage: Bacteria
Description: partial 16S ribosomal RNA
Rfam family: Bacterial small subunit ribosomal RNA
Source: RNAcentral
ACUCAAAUGAAUUGACGGGGACCUGCACAAGUGGUGGAGCAUGUGGUUUAAUUCGAUAGCAAGCGAGGAACCUUACCUAGGCUUGACAUGUACCUGCAUAUCGGAGAAAUUCGAUAGCCUUCGAGGGUGGUACACAGGUGCUGCACGGUUGUCGUCAGCUCGUGCCGUGAGGUGUUCACUUAAGUGUGAAAACGAGCGCAACCCCUAUCAUCAGUUACAAGUGUCUGGUGAAACUGCCGGCGUCUAAGCCGGAGGAAGGCGGGGAUGACGUCAAAUCAGCGUGGCUCUUACGCCUAGGGCGACACACGUGCUACAAUGGGUGGUUACAAAGGGACGCCAAAGAGUAAUCUGGAGCAAAUCCUGGCAAACCCACCCCCAGUUCGGAUUGAGGGCUGCAACUCGCCCUCAUGAAGCCGGAAUCACUAGUAACCGUAGAUCAGCCUCGCUACGGUGAAUACGUUCUCAGGUUUUGUACACACCGCCCGU